UAAGCGGGCACCUGGACGGUACCUAACCAGAAAGCCAGGGCUAACUACGUGCCAGCAGCCGCGGUAAUAGGUAGGUGGCAAGCGUUAUCGGGAAUUAUUGGGCGUAAAGCGCGCGCAGGUGGUUUCUUAAGUCUGAUGUGAAAGCCCACGGCUCAACCGGGGAGGGUCAUUGGAAACUGGGAGACUUGAGUGCAGAAGAGGAAAGUGGAAUUCCAUGUGUAGCGGUGAAAUGGGUAGAGAUAGGGAGGAACACCAGUGGCGAAG
This 264-nucleotide ribosomal RNA is filed under the name Bacillus cereus. RNAcentral's name for it is "partial 16S ribosomal RNA". It matches the Rfam family "Bacterial small subunit ribosomal RNA", at positions 457 to 720 of the family's 1533-position model. Lineage: Bacteria; Bacillati; Bacillota; Bacilli; Caryophanales; Bacillaceae. The record is from RNAcentral.